This 2003-nucleotide ribosomal RNA is filed under the name human oral metagenome. Its description in RNAcentral is "bacterial LSU rRNA". It matches the Rfam family "Bacterial large subunit ribosomal RNA", at positions 3 to 2011 of the family's 2925-position model. The record is from RNAcentral.
UCAAGCUACGAAAGGCAUACGGUGGAUGCCUUGGCGUCAGGAGUCGAAGAAGGACGCGAUAAGCUGCGAAAAGCCGUGGGGAGCCGCAAAUAGGCCUCGAUCCACGGAUGUCCGAAUGGGGCAACCCAGUGCGAGUCAUGUCGCACUACCCGAAAGGGAGACAAACCCGGUGAACUGAAACAUCUAAGUAGCCGGAGGAAAAGUAAUCAAACGAGAUUCCCUCAGUAGCGGCGAGCGAAGCGGGAAGAGCCCAAACCGAGAGCUUUCGGGCUUUCGGGGUUGAGGACCAGCACAAAGGGAAAGCAGUCUAGUGGAACGGCAUGGGAAGGCCGGGCGAAGAGAGUGAGACCCUCGUACACGAAAGGCUGAAGAACGGGCUGGAAUCCAGAGUACCACGGGACACGAGGAACCCUGUGGGAAGCCGGGUGGACCACCAUCCAAGGCAAAAUACUACCUGACGACCGAUAGAGGAAAGUACCGUGAGGGAAAGGCGAAAAGAACCGCGGGAGCGGAGUGAAAUAGAACCUGAAACCGUAUGUCCACAAGCAGUCGAAGCGCUUUAUAUGCGCGACGGCGUGCCUAUUGAAGAAUGAACCGGCGAGUUGUCCUGUCGAGCGAGGUUAAGCGGAAGACGCGGAGCCGAAGCGAAAGCGAGUCUUAAAAGGGCGAAGAGUUCGACGGGGCAGACCCGAAACCACAGUGAUCUAUGCAUGGCCAGGCUGAAACUCAGGUAAAAUUGAGCGGAGGGCCGAACCCGUGAGUGUUGAAAAACUUUGGGAUGAGCUGUGCAUAGGGGUGAAAUGCCAAUCGAACGUGGAGAUAGCUGGUUCUCCCCGAAAUAGCUUUAGGGCUAGCCUCGAGCGAUGCAUGCAGACGGUAGAGCACUGAUCGGGCAAGGGGGCGUAAAGCCUACCGACCCCAGUCAAACUGCGAAUGGCUGCAUGUCAAACUCGGGAGUCAGCGUGCGAGUGAUAAGACCCGUACGCAAGAGGGAAACAGCCCAGACCGCCAGCUAAGGUCCCCAAUGCUGUACUAAGUGGAAAAGGAUGUAGGAAUUCGAAAACAACCAGGAUGUUGGCUCAGAAGCAGCCACCAUUUAAAGAGUGCGUAAUAGCUCACUGGUCGAGAGUCCCUGCGCCGAAAAUAUCCGGGGCUCAAGUACAGAACCGAAGCUGCGGCUGCAUAGGAAACUAUGCGGGGUAGGGGAGCGUACCAUGCGCGGCGAAGCCGUACCGGAAGGAGCGGUGGAGCGCAUGGCAGUGAGAAUGCCGGUAUGAGUAGCGAAAAGGCCAGCAAGAAUCUGGCCCACCGAAAGCCUGAGGUUUCCUGGGCAACGCUCGUCGUCCCAGGGUCAGUCGGGACCUAAGCCGAGGCAGCAAGCAUAGGCGAUGGACAACUGGCAAACAUUCCAGUACCGCAGGGAGUCGUUCGAGUGAUGGAGUGACGCAGGAGGGAGCUUGGGCGCGCGAAUGGAAGAGCGCGUCGAAGCCGGUAGGCUGCAAGGGAGGCAAAUCCCCCUUGCAAAAGCCGAGACGUGACAGGGAGGCGAACCUUCGGGCGAGCCGAAGCCAAGCGGACCACACUGCCGAGAAAAGCUUCUAGCGAGACGAACUGCGCCCGUACCGAAACCGACACAGGCAGGCAGGGAGAGGAUCCUAAGGUGCGCGGGAAAACCCUCGUUAAGGAACUCUGCAAAUUGCAUCCGUAACUUCGGGAAAAGGAUGGCCGGAACUGGUGAAGACCCCUGCGGUUGGAGCCGGGGCCGGCGACAGAAGAGAAGCCCAAGCGACUGUUUACCACAAACACAGGUGCCUGCAAAAGAGAAAUCUGACGUAUAGGUGCUGACGCCUGCCCGGUGCUGGAAGGUUAAGGGGAGAGGUCAGGAGCAAUCCGAAGCCUUGAGCUGAAGCCCCAGUAAACGGCGGCCGUAACUAUAACGGUCCUAAGGUAGCGAAAUUCCUUGUCGGGUAAGUUCCGACCCGCACGAAAGGCGUAACGAUUUG